Molecule: non-coding RNA, 75 nt
Organism: Streptomyces chattanoogensis
Lineage: Bacteria; Bacillati; Actinomycetota; Actinomycetes; Kitasatosporales; Streptomycetaceae
Rfam family: ASpks TB sRNA
Source: Rfam
CUUGACGGAGCCCAGCAGCAGCGGGCUGUGCGGGUCGCGGUCCUGGCCGUACGUGGCAAGCAGCGCCUGGGCCUC